This 497-nucleotide ribosomal RNA is filed under the name uncultured bacterium. Its description in RNAcentral is "partial 16S ribosomal RNA". It matches the Rfam family "Bacterial small subunit ribosomal RNA", at positions 28 to 507 of the family's 1533-position model. The record is from RNAcentral.
GAUGAACGCUGGCGGCGUGCCUAAUACAUGCAAGUCGAGCGAACGGACGAGAAGCUUGCUUCUCUGAUGUUAGCGGCUGACGGGUGAGUAACACGUGGAUAACCUACCUAUAAGACUGGGAUAACUUCGUGAAACCGGAGCUAAUACCGGAUAAUAUUUUGAACCGCAUGGUUCAAAAGUGAAAGACGGUCUUGCUGUCACUUAUAGAUGGAUCCGCGCUGCAUUAGCUAGUUGGUAAGGUAACGGCUUACCAAGGCAACGAUGCAUAGCCGACCUGAGAGGGUGAUCGGCGAAACGGGAACUGAGACACGGACCAGAGUCCGACGGGAGGCAGCAGUAGGGAAUGUGCCGCAAUGGGCGAAAGCAUGACGGAGAAAAGCCGCGUGAGUGAUGAAGGUGUUCGGAUCGUAAAACUCUGUUAUUAGGGAAGAAAAUAUGUGAAAGAAACAGGGCACAUAAUGACGGUACCUAAACAGAAAGCAACGGCUAACUACGUG